RNAcentral lists this ribosomal RNA (493 nucleotides) under uncultured bacterium. Its description in RNAcentral is "partial 16S ribosomal RNA". It matches the Rfam family "Bacterial small subunit ribosomal RNA", at positions 28 to 506 of the family's 1533-position model. The record is from RNAcentral.
GACGAACGCUGGCGGCGUGCUUAACACAUGCAAGUCGAACGGAAAGGCCUGCUUUCCCUUGUGGAUUGCGGGUGCUCGAGUGGCGAACGGGUGAGUAACACGUGAGUGAUCUGCCCCCAACUUGGGUAUAAGCCCGGGAAACUGGGUCUAAUUCCCGAUAGGACUGCAGGGUGGUGCCUGUGGUGGAAAACGAUUUUCUAGUGGUUGGGGAUGAGCUCGCGGCCUAUCAGCUUGUUGGUGGGGUAAUGGCCUACCAAGGCGGCGACGGGUAGCCGGCCUGAGAGGGUGGACGGCCACAUUGGGACUGAGAUACGGCCCAGACUCCUACGGGAGGCAGCAGUGGGGAAUAUUGCACAAUGGGCGGAAGCCUGAUGCAGCGACGCCGCGUGGGGGAUGACGGCCUUCGGGUUGUAAACUCCUUUCGACCGCGAGGAAGCCACCUGGUUGGAAGGGUGGUGACGGUAGUGGUAGAAGAAGCACCGGCUAACUACGU